CCCAGACUCCUACGGGAGGCAGCAGUGAGGAAUAUUGGUCAAUGGUCGGGAGACUGAACCAGCCAAGCCGCGUGAGGGAUGGAGGUACAGAGUAUCGUAAACCUCUUUUGUCAGGGAACAAAGGCGGGGACGUGUCCCCGGAUGAGUGUACCUGAAGAAAAAGCAUCGGCUAACUCCGUGCCAGCAGCCGCGGUAAUACGGAGGAUGCGAGCGUUAUCCGGAUUUAUUGGGUUUAAAGGGUGCGUAGGCGGACGCUUAAGUCAGCGGUAAAAUUGCGGGGCUCAACCUCGUCGAGCCGUUGAAACUGGCAGUCUCGAGUUGGAGAGAAGUAUGCGGAAUGCGCGGUGUAGCGGUGAAAUGCAUAGAUAUCGCGCAGAACUCCGAUUGCGAAGGCAGCAUGCCGGCUCCACACUGACGCUGAGGCACGAAAGCGUGGGUAUCGAACAGGAUUAGAUACCCGUGUACC
This 466-nucleotide ribosomal RNA is filed under the name uncultured bacterium. Its description in RNAcentral is "bacterial SSU rRNA". It matches the Rfam family "Bacterial small subunit ribosomal RNA", at positions 330 to 796 of the family's 1533-position model. The record is from RNAcentral.